AGAGCAAAAGAAACAAAAAGUUUCUGAAAUAAAGACUGGAAUUGAUGAAGCUGAAGCUUUGAUUCGAAAAAUGGACCUCGAGGCAAGAAGUUUGCAGCCAAACGUCAAGGGUGUGCUUCUUGCUAAGUUGCGGGAGUAUAAAUCAGAUCUAAA
RNAcentral lists this small RNA (153 nucleotides) under Vigna angularis var. angularis. RNAcentral describes it as "Non-protein coding transcript". Lineage: Eukaryota; Viridiplantae; Streptophyta; Magnoliopsida; Fabales; Fabaceae. The record is from RNAcentral.